This 495-nucleotide ribosomal RNA is filed under the name uncultured bacterium. RNAcentral's name for it is "partial 16S ribosomal RNA". It matches the Rfam family "Bacterial small subunit ribosomal RNA", at positions 28 to 507 of the family's 1533-position model. The record is from RNAcentral.
GAUGAACGCUGGCGGCGUGCCUAAUACAUGCAAGUAGAACGCUGAAGGAGGAGCUUGCUCUUCUGGAUGAGUUGCGAACGGGUGAGUAACGCGUAGGUAACCUGCCUGGUAGCGGGGGAUAACUAUUGGAAACGAUAGCUAAUACCGCAUGACAACAGUUAUUGCAUGAUAACUGUUUAAAAGGGGCAACUGCUCCACUACCAGAUGGACCUGCGUUGUAUUAGGUAGUUGGUGAGGUAACGGCUGACUAAGGCGACGAUACAUAGUGGACCGGAGAGGGGGAGCAGCCGCACUGGGAGGGUGACACGCCCCAUACGGCUACGGGAGGCAGCAGUAGUGAUACGUCAGCAAGAGACGGAAGUCUGACCGAGCAACGCCGCGUGAGUGAAGAAGGUUUUCGGAUCGUAAAGCUCGGUUGUAAGAGAGGAACGAGUGUGAGAGUGGAAAGUUCACUCUGUGACGGUAACUGACCAGGAAGGGACGGCUAACUACGUG